RNAcentral lists this ribosomal RNA (756 nucleotides) under uncultured bacterium. RNAcentral's name for it is "bacterial SSU rRNA". It matches the Rfam family "Bacterial small subunit ribosomal RNA", at positions 8 to 796 of the family's 1533-position model. The record is from RNAcentral.
AGAGUUUGAUCCUGGCUCAGAAUCAACGCUGGCGGCGCGCCUAACACAUGCAAGUCGAACGAGAAAGUGGAGCAAUCCAUGAGUAAAGUGGCGUACGGGUGAGUAACACGUGGAUAACCUGCCCUCUAGUGGGGAAUACCGUUGGGAAACCGACGACAAUACCGCAUAAGCUCGAGAGAGGAAAGCAGCAAUGCGCUGGAGGAGGGGUCCGCGGCCGAUUAGCUCGUUGGUAGGGUAAUGGCCUACCAAGGCUUUGAUCGGUAGCCGGCCUGAGAGGGCACACGGCCACACUGGCACUGAAACACGGGCCAGACUCCUACGGGAGGCAGCAGUGGGGAAUCUUGCACAAUGGGGGAAACCCUGAUGCAGCGACGCCGCGUGAGCGAUGAAGCCCUUCGGGGUGUAAAGCUCUUUCGGCAGGGAAGAUUAUGACGGUACCUGCAGAAGCAGCUGCGGCUAACUACGUGCCAGCAGCCGCGGUAAUACGUAGGCAGCAAGCGUUGUUCGGAGUUACUGGGCGUAAAGGGUGCGCAGGCGGUCCUGUAAGUAUGGUGUGAAAUCUCCCGGCUUAACUGGGAGGGUGCGCUAUAAACUGCGGGACUAGAGUGUGGGAGAGGAAAGUGGAAUUCCUGGUGUAGCGGUGAAAUGCGUAGAUAUCAGGAGGAACACCGGUGGUGUAAACGGCUUUCUGGACCAUAACUGACGCUGAGGCACGAAAGCGUGGGUAGCAAACAGGAUUAGAUACCCUAGUAGUCC